UACGGGGGGGGCAAGCGUUGUUCGGAAUUACUGGGCGUAAAGGGCUCGUAGGCGGCCAACUAAGUCGGACGUGAAAUCCCCAGGCUCAACCUGGGAACUGCGUCCGAUACUGGAUGGCUUGAAUCCGGGAGAGGGAUGCAGAAUUCCAGGUGUAGCGGUGAAAUGCGUAGAUAUCUGGAGGAAUACCGGUGGCGAAAGCGGCUUACUGGCCCGUAUCUGACGCUGAUGUGCGAAAGCCAGGGGAGCAAACGGG
This 253-nucleotide ribosomal RNA is filed under the name uncultured bacterium. RNAcentral describes it as "partial 16S ribosomal RNA". It matches the Rfam family "Bacterial small subunit ribosomal RNA", at positions 524 to 776 of the family's 1533-position model. The record is from RNAcentral.